RNAcentral lists this ribosomal RNA (322 nucleotides) under Sandonidae sp. RNAcentral describes it as "SSU rRNA". The stretch from base 113 to 322 matches the Rfam family "Eukaryotic small subunit ribosomal RNA", at positions 745 to 955 of the family's 1831-position model. The record is from RNAcentral. Lineage: Eukaryota; Cercozoa; Glissomonadida; Sandonidae.
GAUUUCUGGUCCGAUACAUUAUGCCGGCCACGGUUUCGUGUGUGUGUGUAUGAUGUUCGUACCAUCCUUCCAAUUGCUGUUUACUUUUCUUCAUUGAUUGGUAAAUGGUAUUGGAUCUUUUACUUUGAAAAAAUUAGAGUGUUUCAAGCAGGCGUUUUGCUAUGAAUACAUUAGCAUGGAAUAAUAAUUUAGGACUUUUGUUCUAUUUUGUUGGUUUCUAGGAUAAAAGUAAUGAUUGAUAGGGAUAGUUGGGGGUGCUAGUAUUGAGUGUUAAGAGGUGAAAUUCUUGGAUCCGCUCAAGACUAACUUAUGCGAAAGCAUU